Molecule: ribosomal RNA, 1341 nt
Filed under: metagenome
Description: bacterial LSU rRNA
Rfam family: Bacterial large subunit ribosomal RNA
Source: RNAcentral
AGCCUGCGGGUAGUGACGAAUUCCGUAAGUUGUACGUCCUUAUUGGAUUGGAUGUGCCGCGAAGGAGUUCCAGGAAAUAGCUCCCGCGUAUAGACCGUACCCGAAACCGACACAGGUGGACUGGUAGAGCAUACCAAGGCGCUUGAGAGAACUACGCUGAAGGAACUCGGCAAAUUGCCUCCGUAACUUCGGAAGAAGGAGGCCCUUUGCUUGGGCAACCAAGCGAAGGGGGCACAGACCAGGGGGUAGCGACUGUUUACCAAAAACACAGGGCUCUGCGAAGUCCAAAGACGACGUAUAGGGUCUGACGCCUGCCCGGUGCCGGAAGGUUAAGAGGAGAUGUGCAAGCAUUGAAUCGAAGCCCCGGUAAACGGCGGCCGUAACAAUAACGGUCCUAAGGUAGCGAAAUUCCUUGUCGGGUAAGUUCCGACCUGCACGAUGGCGUAACGACUUCCCCGCUGUCUCCAGCGUAGACUCAGUGAAAUUGAAUUCCCCGUGAAGAUGCGGGGUUCCUGCGGUUAGACGGAAAGACCCCGUGAACCUUUACUGCAACUUUGCAUUGGCAUCCGUGACGGCAUGUGUAGGAUAGGUGGUAGGCUUUGAAGCUUGGGCGCCAGCUCAGGUGGAGCCAACCUUGAAAUACCACCCUUGUUGUUAUGAAUGUCUAACCGCGACCCGUUACCCGGGUCCGAGACAAUGCAUGGUGGGCAGUUUGACUGGGGCGGUCGCCUCCCAAAGAGUAACGGAGGCGCGCGAUGGUGGGCUCAGAGCGGUCGGAAAUCGCUCGUCGAGUGCAAUGGCAUAAGCCCGCCUGACUGCGAGACAAACAAGUCGAGCAGAGUCGAAAGACGGCCAUAGUGAUCCGGUGGUCCCACGUGGACGGGCCAUCGCUCAACGGAUAAAAGGUACUCCGGGGAUAACAGGCUGAUGAUGCCCAAGAGUCCAUAUCGACGGCAUCGUUUGGCACCUCGAUGUCGACUCAUCACAUCCUGGGGCUGGAGCAGGUCCCAAGGGUUCGGCUGUUCGCCGAUUAAAGUGGUACGUGAGUUGGGUUCAGAACGUCGUGAGACAGUUCGGUCCCUAUCUGCCGUGGGUGUAGGAGAAUUGAGAGGAUCUGUCCCUAGUACGAGAGGACCGGGAUGGACGUACCUCUGGUGGACCUGUUGUUGCGCCAGCAGCAUUGCAGGGUAGCUAUGUACGGACGGGAUAACCGCUGAAAGCAUCUAAGCGGGAAACCCACCUCAAAACGAGUUCUCCCUGAAGAGUCGUGGAAGACGACCACGUUGAUAGGCCGGGUGUGGAAGCGCAGCAAUGCGUGAAGCUUACCGGUACUAAUAGCCC